CGCAGUGUUUUAAUAGGAGACAGUAAUAAAAGUGGGAUGAAGGUCCUGCUUUUCUGGUCCUCUCCAUGCUGCUGUUUGAUGCCCUGCAGCAUCACUGAAUGUAAUGUGCAAGGGGAUUGCUUCAUGGUCAGCAGAGUUUGUUGAGUUGCCAGUCUUCUGGAAUGAUGUGGAAUUGAAAUAAAUACUUGAACUAAGGCAGAAAUGGAUGGAAGUCAGCUGCUUCUCCCCCAGAAUCUGUUCCGGACUAACAUAAGAGGUGUUUGAUGGUGGGAUAAGAGGGAGAGAAGGAUGGUAUAUACUGGGAAAUCUGACACAGAAUACUUUGGGAAUGUCGUCCAGUGUACCCCUUUGCUAUUAAUGAGGCAUUAAACCAAUUUAUUUUGCCAUGGA
Long non-coding RNA from Pezoporus occidentalis (night parrot), 390 nucleotides. RefSeq lists it as uncharacterized. Lineage: Eukaryota; Metazoa; Chordata; Aves; Psittaciformes; Psittacidae. The record is from RefSeq and is a predicted model, not a curated record. The transcript has 2 exons.